RNAcentral lists this unclassified non-coding RNA (262 nucleotides) under Glomus sp. RNAcentral's name for it is "partial contains 5.8S ribosomal RNA and internal transcribed spacer 2". The stretch from base 1 to 65 matches the Rfam family "5.8S ribosomal RNA", at positions 84 to 154 of the family's 154-position model. The record is from RNAcentral. Lineage: Eukaryota; Fungi; Glomeromycota; Glomeromycetes; Glomerales; Glomeraceae.
GUGAAUCAUCAAAUUUUUGAACGCGAAUUGCACUCUCUUCGGAGAGUAUGCCUGUUUGAGGGUCAGCAUAAAAAAAAUUGACAUAGUUGAUGUUUCGUGGUGACAUUAGUCGGAAUUUGGGUCAUCUUAAACCUUUGGGUUUUAAGUGGCUUAAAAUUUUCUUUACGAUUCAAAGAACGUUUCUAAGAUUUUACUUCUUACAAGUUUAAGGUAUCGAUCUUUAUUAGUCGUGGUCGUUGUUUCGGAUUACGUUAAUAUAUAU